Non-coding RNA from Corylus avellana, 834 nucleotides. The record is from RefSeq and is a predicted model, not a curated record. Lineage: Eukaryota; Viridiplantae; Streptophyta; Magnoliopsida; Fagales; Betulaceae.
CAUAGAUAAUAGUGGCGGAGUUGCGUACAACUAGUUUUCGCUUUAAAGUCACCCAUUCCUGUCCAAAUUUCCACCACAUCUCUUCGCAAACCGCAAAUCCAUCUCUAAUCACUUCCUUCGUCUUUGUUCUCAGUUUCAGCAGCUUUAUCUAAUCCGAUAUUCUUUGGGUGUUUGAGAAUCUAUCAACGAUGACUCAUAUCCUUCCGUAGAUCAGCUUUUUCUCUACGCUUCCGACGGUUUGUUGUUUCUUUCCUCCGUUUGGUUCCCGAGAAAACCUUUCCGAUCUUGCACUGCAGAGCGAGAAUUGAAGAUUUUGAAGCUUUUUUUUUUUAAAAAAAAAAUUUCUCGGGAAACAAACGGGUAGCGUAUGUGGAAUUUGAUAACUAAAAGGAAUGGUUUUGUUUCGUGAUCAUGUUUCCCUGUUUGUUUGGAUUUAACUGAAGCGAACGCGGUAACCAGAGAGACCGAGACCGUGAGCGGGCCCAGGCCCGUUCCGGCGGCAAGGUCAAGCAGCCCAAAGGCGACGGUCUCACCCCGGAGCAACGCCGUGAAAGGGAUGCGAAAGCUCUACAGGAAAAGGCGGCGAGGAAAGCCGCGCAAUCUACGGGAGGGAACAAUCCCGGUGGUAAUAAAAAAUGAGAGGAGCUAGAGAUCGAGGAUGUAGGUAGGUAGAUAUGGGAAAGCAUGUACUGGAUCAGAUUUUGGGUUAGUGGUUUUGGGUUUCAUGUGUUUAAUGUCGUUUGAGCGUUUGCUUGGAUGGCAUUGAAAAUCUUGUCUUCUGAGCCUUCGAUUUUUCUCUGAUUUGGAAUGGAAUUCCUUUGUCGCUCUGUGCAA